GCGGCGUGCCUAAUACAUGCAAGUCGAACGGUCUUUCUAUGGAAGCUUGCUUCCACUGAGAAGAUAGUGGCGAACGGGUGAGUAACACGUGGGUAACCUGCCCAUAAGAGGGGGAUAACAUCCGGAAACGGGUGCUAAUACCGCAUAGUUUUCUUGAUCGCAUGAUGAGAAAGGAAAGACGGCCUUUGUGCUGUCGCUUAUGGAUGGACCCGCGGCGUAUUAGUUAGUUGGUGAGGUAAUGGCUCACCAAGACGAUGAUACGUAGCCGACCUGAGAGGGUGAUCGGCCACAUUGGGACUGAGACACGGCCCAAACUCCUACGGGAGGCAGCAGUAGGGAAUCUUCCGCAAUGGACGAAAGUCUGACGGAGCAACGCCGCGUGAGUGAAGAAAGGUUUUCGGAUCGUAAAACUCUGUUGUCAGAGAAGAACAAGUUGGAGAGUAACUGCUCCAGCCUUGACGGUAUCUGACCAGAAAGCCACGGCUAACUACGUGCCAGCAGCCGC
RNAcentral lists this ribosomal RNA (505 nucleotides) under uncultured bacterium. RNAcentral describes it as "bacterial SSU rRNA". It matches the Rfam family "Bacterial small subunit ribosomal RNA", at positions 39 to 518 of the family's 1533-position model. The record is from RNAcentral.